AUGGAUCGUAGUCUAUCCAUUGUGUUCUGGAACGUGCGCGGGCUUAAUAGCCGCGCCAAACGCACGACAGUGCGCUCCGUUGUUUCCUCGGCCGACCCUUGUAUCGUGUGUUUGUCUGAAACAAAGCUGAAUUCUGUAUCGUCGCUGUCUGUCGUGGAGACGCUUGGCUCCCCCUUCACUGACUUCUUCUUCCUUCCGGCCGCGGGCACUUCUGGUGGAAUCCUCCUGGCCUGGCGUAGUGACCGCAUCUUCCUCGCCAACCCCAUCAUUGGGGUCUUUCACGUUUCUGCCACCGUCCCCACUGCCAUCGAUGCUACCCCAUGGUGGAUCACCGGGGUCUACGGGCCUCAAGGCACCACAGAGAAGCUGGCCUUCAUGGCCGAGCUUCACGAUCUGCGUGACAUGAUUGCCGGCCCUUGGCUUCUGGGCGCGACUUCAACAUGA
RNAcentral lists this ribosomal RNA (444 nucleotides) under Triticum aestivum (bread wheat). Its description in RNAcentral is "partial small subunit ribosomal RNA". Lineage: Eukaryota; Viridiplantae; Streptophyta; Magnoliopsida; Poales; Poaceae. The record is from RNAcentral.